This is a long non-coding RNA of Cyprinus carpio carpio, 509 nucleotides long. NCBI's taxonomy places the organism in Eukaryota, Metazoa, Chordata, Actinopteri, Cypriniformes, Cyprinidae. The record is from Ensembl.
GAAUAUUAAGAGUAGCAGAAUACUUUUUCAGUUCUGUUUUAUACCUCUGUUGUUUUUACAAACCGUUCAUACUGUAAACGAGAGUCACAACUGUUUUUUAUAAGUUCACCAACUGUAUAACCGACAGGACUCACAAUCGUAGUCAAUAAAUCUGUGACGUGUGAACGGAUCCAUAUUAAGCGACAGUUGUCUACACGUCAUGCAAUGCGAGAGUAGCUCUUCGUUCCACAAAAUUGCGCGACUUUCAGUGUGACAUCUGGCAGGUGAUUUUGGAUCCCCUCGCUGUGUUCGCUGUGCUAGAGAUCCACUCGCCAGGCCUGCCGUGGUCUUUGCGUGACCCAAAUGCUGCGCUCUACACUCAGAUACAAACCCUUUCUAAACCAGUCCUAAACUGACCUUCAUUAUACAUAUGAAGCAGUUUAGAGAUUCUCUGACGUUCCUGGAAAUGAUGUCAGUGACCCCAGCAGCUUUUAAAUGGUGAAACUUCCCCUCCCGCUUUCUCUCAGCCA